RNAcentral lists this unclassified non-coding RNA (202 nucleotides) under plant metagenome. Its description in RNAcentral is "partial contains small subunit ribosomal RNA, internal transcribed spacer 1, and 5.8S ribosomal RNA". The record is from RNAcentral.
UCUCCGUUGGUGAACCAGCGGAGGGAUCAUUAUCGAGUUUAUAACUCCCAAACCCUAUGUGAACUUACCACUUGUUGCUUCGGCGCGCGCUUCGGCGCCGCCGAGGACACUUAAACUCUUUGUUUUUAUAAGCAUUUCUGAGUGGCCGAAAGGCAAAAAUACAAAUGAAUCAAAACUUUCAACAACGGAUCUCUUGGUUCUG